This is a long non-coding RNA of Boleophthalmus pectinirostris (great blue-spotted mudskipper), 1855 nucleotides long. RefSeq lists it as uncharacterized. NCBI's taxonomy places the organism in Eukaryota, Metazoa, Chordata, Actinopteri, Gobiiformes, Gobiidae. The record is from RefSeq and is a predicted model, not a curated record. The transcript is spliced from 5 exons.
CGUCAGAGGCACUUAACACUGAAUACAACCUGUGUAGGACCAGAGCGGUUCACGCAACCAUGUAAGUAACAGAACGUAUAUAAGUAAGUAGUAUUUAUAAUAUUAUAUUAUUAUUAUAACAGUUUGUAACAAGGUAAUGCUAUAUUAUUAUUGCUUACUGCUUUGAAAAUUACAAAAGCAUUACAUGAUAGAAAGAUAAUUGGAUAAUACAAUAUUCCUCUAGCGACAUAAAAUUAUGGUAAAACAUCAAACUACUAAGGCGAGUAGACAUAACAUUUGGUCAUAAAGGUUUUUGUUUAUGAUUUAUUUAUUAUUGAAGUAUAAUGUAACUAGCUUGGUCCACUGUAUAAGAUGACCUCACCUCAGGCUUCUGCUCAAUCACUUUUGUUUGAGCUCGAAACAGACAGAUUAGUUAUGAGAUUAAGGGAUUCCUGUGGCACACUGAACCAAUCUUGUCUUUCUAAGAGCAGAGAUCCAACCAACGGAUUGAUGCUGAUACUUAAGUGAAAAGGGUCUUCAACUGAUUGACAAAAAUAUAAGCCAUUCAUAUGUCAUGUUUAGUGAUAUGUUUUUAUAACUUGCAAUCAAUACAGCACAUUCUUUAUUUGUCCUUGGGGCAUAUGCAGGCACACUGAAGCCACAACGGGUUCAGAAGUAGAUAAUCUGAGUUAGUAGAAAUUUGAUUUUUUUUUUUUUUUUUCAGUCGUCAGGUCUGCUUACCUGACCAGCCAGUCCCUUCUACAUUCUGUUUGAAUCCUAAUCUACUCAUUUUUGUAAAGUUUUGUCAAAGUGUGAGGUUCUGCCUUGUCAGAUUAUUAAGCAUUUUUAAUUGAGCAUAAAGUAUUAAGCAUAAGGAAUUAAUUAAUUCACAAGCUCCAUCCACAAAACAAGUCAUACGAAGUCAUUCAAAUCCUCAAAGCAGAGCAAAUGGGGACCCAUGCAUGUUUAUAUAGCAUGGCAGAUUUAUUACAAGGAACAACAAAUGAAAUCGCCACUUAAAUAUAAGAGUAUGCAUCAAGAACUGGCAACAAUAAAUGACCCUUUUGUACAAUGUAAUGUAGAUACAAACUCACUCACUCUCAAGUCAAAAUGCUACAACUGGAGGCAACAGUACAGGCUACAAUGGUACAGGAAGUGCCACACAGAGUAUCCCAGCACCUUUAAAGACAAGAGGCAAAAGCAAGAAGGACAAGACACUUCUGAGAUCUCUGUCAGUAAGGACUUUCUGUCACAAAUGAUAUCAGAUUUGAACAUGAGAGUUUUUUACUCCAAUAGUGGAAGAUGGAAUAAUCCUCUACCGUCCAUUCACUAACUAAGUGUAAAUCAGAUGUUCUGUCACCAGAUGCCAUCAGUGGAUAAAUAUAUACUGCUGGUGAGUUCAGGAACACCUUUUUUCUGCCCCCAAGUUUUCACUCAAGAUUUUAAGAAGUCUUUAAUUCAAGCAUCGGGGGAAACUUCAAAGUGCAGCAUUUGUCGAUUCUACCAGCCUCAUUAUGGGCUUAUGACAACUACUGGUUUGGGUUUAGAACACUGUCUGCGCAGCCAGUGUAUGGAUAAAUAUACAUUUAUGUGAGAAGUUGUAUAAUAUUAACUUAAUAAAUAUAAUGAUUGUCUGGAUUUUUGGGGACUGGUGAGAUCAGUCAACCCUCUCUGAGAAUUACUUUACAGUGAUAUAUCUAUGUUAUAGGUGUAGUAGUGUACACAGUGUCCAACUUCUAACAUUUUAGAUUAUAAUGUAAUAGAACUACUGCAAUUACUUGACCAAUUAGUUUAGAAAAUACUGAAAACAAAUUAAUGACAAUGUUUCUUUCUAUAAAAAUUCUAUUUAAAACUGUGAACAGGAAUAUUGAACAAU